RNAcentral lists this ribosomal RNA (243 nucleotides) under uncultured fungus. Its description in RNAcentral is "partial 18S ribosomal RNA". It matches the Rfam family "Eukaryotic small subunit ribosomal RNA", at positions 40 to 274 of the family's 1831-position model. Lineage: Eukaryota; Fungi. The record is from RNAcentral.
AAGAUUAAGCCAUGCAUGUCUAAGUGUAAACGACUUUAUACAGUGAAACUGCGAAUGGCUCAUUAAAUCAGUUAUAGUUUAUUUGAUAGUACCUUUUACUACUUGGAUAACCGUGGUAAUUCUAGAGCUAAUACAUGCUAAAAAUCCCGACUUUCAUGGAAGGGAUGUAUUUAUUAGAUAAAAACCAAGCCCAGGGGCAACUCUGGUUCUUUUGGUGAUUCAUGAUAACUUCUCGAAUCGCAU